CACCGCUAUUCACGAUAAUCCCUCUUCCUUUCUCCUGGCCGUCCAGAAGGAAUUCCCAUCAAUCCAGGACCUGCUUCGUGCCAACUUCAUUACCUCCUGUCUUAUUUCUUCUUCACAGCUUCUCCGCAUGGUUAAAUUAAAUGACAUCCAAGGAAUGAAGACCUUAGACCUGCGCUGUCCAGUACAAUAGCUACAAGCCACGACAUUCGGAGGAAGAUACCACAUUUUCUUUUUAACAACUGUGGAAACUGAGUGUCCAUGAGGUUCAACAGCUUCUCAAGCUUUCAUAGCCAUUCUCAGGAUCUAUGAAUCUCGAGAGCUGAUGCCCGCAGAGCCCAGGACGCCCAAGCUGACCUCACCUCCAGCCACCACUCCACCCCUUCUGUGCUAACCCAGGGGACACCCACAUUCAUGCCCAGAAGAUGGUGAAGGAGAUGUAUUUUUUUCAGGGUGACGCUGAGCUAGACCCAGACAUGCACUACCCGCUCCCCCUUCAGGGAAAGACAAGCCGCCCAGCUGGGGGAGGGCGGGGAGCAGGUGGCUCUCAGCUCCUUCAGGUGUCCUUGGCUACAGAGGGCCACCUCGCCCAAGGUCAUGCCCUCCUGGGCAGCCUGCAUGCCCUGAAAGAGCAGGAAGAUAAUAUAAAGGAUUGGUCAACUGGGUCCAACUCGGGCAACCCACAUGGACAAUCCCUGCCCCAGAGCUCCCGGUGGGAGGUGGUUCAGCAGUUCCUUCUGAGUUGAUGGUGUUUUGUGUUUUCACAGUGCUCGAGACCCUUGCAUCUCUUUACCCCCGUAGCUGCCCCUGCGAAUUGGUCAGACACCUCCACCUGGCAGGGGCCUGCCACACAAACUGCUUCUUUCCCCCCCGUUUGAGGUGUCCGCUAGGCAAUACCUUCUGUUUACCUAAGAGCUGAAUUUCUGGCAAGAAAGAGAGAGGCAGCGAGUGGGGUGCCACCAGCUGACAGGCUUUAGGAGCAAAGAACCCUCAGCUACACUUUUCUAAUAAUCCUCAGGCCUGGAACAAAGGACACUUUGUCCUGGCACAGACAGGACAAGAAGUUUAAAGCACAGCAGAUACAGCUAACCAGGUUGAUUUUACUUACCAAAGCUUUGCUAUAUGCUCGAUUCCCACACAGAUUUGCUGAUUUGGGUUCAGAAAUCCCCACUGCAAAGUUGAACGGAGGGGACGUUACUCAGUGGUACUCUGGGUUCCAGCUCCCCCGGGUUCUGCAUCAAUUAUCCCAUAGCUAAUCAGUCACAAG
Molecule: long non-coding RNA, 1264 nt
Organism: Balaenoptera acutorostrata (minke whale)
Lineage: Eukaryota; Metazoa; Chordata; Mammalia; Artiodactyla; Balaenopteridae
Exons: 4
Source: RefSeq, a predicted model, not a curated record